UUUCUUCAAUAGAGGAAGCAAAAGUCGUAACAAGGUAGCUGUAGGUGAACCUGCAGCUGGAUCAUUUUCCGAUGAUUACACCAAAAAACAUACAACUCCGGGGAGGCUUGUGUUUUCUAGCAAGCCUUUCCCACAGAUACGCAAUACAAUCUAUAUAUAUAUAUGUAUAUAGACACAACAUACAGUAGAAAAAGGCCGAUCGACGUUAACAUAUCGCGUAUACAACAAAAAAGUUCGUUCUACGGCUUUUUUUUUGGCGGCGUGCGUGGAUAACGGCUCACAUAA
RNAcentral lists this unclassified non-coding RNA (285 nucleotides) under Leishmania guyanensis. RNAcentral's name for it is "sequence contains 18S rRNA gene, ITS1 and 5.8S rRNA gene". The stretch from base 1 to 67 matches the Rfam family "Eukaryotic small subunit ribosomal RNA", at positions 1765 to 1831 of the family's 1831-position model. Lineage: Eukaryota; Euglenozoa; Kinetoplastea; Trypanosomatida; Trypanosomatidae. The record is from RNAcentral.